CGGACGGGUGAGUAACGCGUGAGAACCUACCCCUAGGAGGGGGACAACAACUGGAAACGGUUGCUAAUACCCCAUAUGCUGAGGAGUAAAACGGUGAAAACCGCCUAGGGACGGGCUUGCGUCUGAUUAGCUUGUUGGUGAGGUAAAUGCUUACCAAGGCGAUGAUCGGUAGCUGGUCUGAGAGGAUGAUCAGCCACACUGGGACUGAGACACGGCCCAGACUCCUACGGGAGGCAGCAGUGAGGAAUUUUCCGCAAUGGGCGAAAGCCUGACGGAGCAAUGCCGCGUGGAGGAUGAAAGCCUGUGGGUCGUAAACUCCUUUUCUCAGAGAAGAAGAUCUGACGGUAUCUGAGGAAUAAGCAUCGGCUAACUCCGUGCCAGCAGCCGCGGUAAUACGGAGGAUGCAAGCGUUAUCCGGAAUGAUUGGGCGUAAAGCGUCUGUAGGUGGUUUCAUAAGUCCACUGUCAAAGAUCAGGGCUUAACCCUGAGCAGGCAGUGGAAACUAUGAGGCUUGAGUACGGUAGGGGCAGAGGGAAUUCCCGGUGUAGCGGUGAAAUGCGUAGAGAUCGGGAAGAACACCAAUGGCGAAAGCACUCUGCUGGGCCGAAACUGACACUGAGAGACGAAAGCUAGGGGAGCAAAUGGGAUUAGAUACCCCAGUAGUC
Molecule: ribosomal RNA, 665 nt
Filed under: uncultured cyanobacterium
Lineage: Bacteria; Bacillati; Cyanobacteriota
Description: bacterial SSU rRNA
Rfam family: Bacterial small subunit ribosomal RNA
Source: RNAcentral